ACUAGACAGUAGGCUUGAUCAAAUAUCCAUACUCUCCAAUCAAGCUUUCGUUCCUUCUUAUCCAUUUUACGUGUUGCUGAAUCACACUUCCCAACGUUCCUCUUCGAACGGUGGCGGACGAUGAUUUUCAGGCGGGUUUCCCAGCAGAAGAAGCUUUGGAACUCCGGCCGGGGAUGGCGGUGGCACUCUUGUUCCUCUUCAACUCCGCCGCACACGGCGGCGGUUUAUCAGUUAAAACCUCCACUUCUAGGGUUCCGUAAUCAAUCAUCGGCAUCGUUUUCCUCAACCUAUAAGCAUAACGACUUUCCAUAUGGUACGAUGAUACGCUGCUUUUCAAGCCAUGCUUCAGUCAAUCUUCCAGUUGGAAAGAUAAUUGACGUGCCUUUGGCACAAACUGGUGAAGGUAUAGCUGAAUGUGAACUGCUCAAAUGGUUUGUGCAAGAGGGGGAUCAAGUUGAAGAAUUUCAACCACUUUGUGAGGUUCAGAGUGACAAAGCAACCAUAGAAAUAACAAGUCGUUACGAAGGAAAAGUUUCUCAAAUUCUACAUGUUCCUGGUGACAUUGUAAAGGUUGAAGAAACUCUUCUGAAGAUAUUUGUUAAUGAAUCUCCAGUUCCAACGGAGAUUUAUGGUAGUUUGGAUAAUAAGUCGUUGGGUUCUGAGAUAUGUGACUCAAGCAGUCAAACAAAUCCAGUGCCAAAUAAAACUAACAAUCUUGGAGUUCUAUCCACACCUGCCGUUCGGAAUCUUGCAAAGGAAUACAACAUAAAUAUAAGUGAUGUCUGCGGAACCGGUAAAGAUGGAAGGAUACUAAGAGAAGACGUCCUCAAAUAUGCUGUCCACAAAGGAAUCAUGAAAGAAACAUCUGCCUCCUUAAGUGCUACAUCUGUAGAACAGUUGCUGGGAGGAGAAGAAGAAUAUUCAAAUGCAUCUGCUGCAGAGGGAUGGCAUUAUGAAGAUAAAACUGUCCAACUGAGGGGAUUCCAGCGCACAAUGGUUAAAUCAAUGACCCUGGCUGCUAAAAUUCCUCAUUUUUAUUAUGUAGAAGAGAUAAAUUGUGACACACUUGUGGAGCUUAAAGCAUCUUUUCAGAGCGAGAAUUCUGAUCCAGAUGUCAAGUACACUUUCCUUCCAAUCUUGAUAAAGUCACUUUCAGUGGCACUGAGCAAAUAUCCAUUGCUAAAUAGUUGCUUCAAUGAGGAGUUGCACGAGGUCACCCUUAAAGGCUCCCAUAAUAUCGGAAUAGCCAUGGCUACUCCAUCUGGUCUAGUUGUACCAAAUAUAAAGAAGGUUCAGUCACUUUCCUUCUUGGAGAUAACGAAGGAAUUAUCACGGUUACAACAAUUGGCUCUCGCUAACAAACUAAGCCCUGAAGAUAUAUCUGGUGGAACUAUAACUUUAAGCAAUAUUGGAGCUAUUGGUGGAAAGUUUGGUUCCCCACUCCUCAACAUCCCUGAAGUUUCUAUCAUUGCAAUUGGCCGAAUUCAGAAAGUUCCUCAAUUUGCGAAUGAUGGAAAUGUGUAUCCUGCGUCAGUCAUGAGUGUAAAUAUAGGUGCUGAUCAUAGAGUUCUGGACGGGGCAACUGUUGCAAGGUUUUGCAAUGAGUGGAAACUAUUUAUCGAAAAACCAGAGCUGCUCAUGCUACAUAUGAAGUGACCGGUCUUCCGCGUGACUGGCAGCGAGAUGUUUGUUUUCAGCCUAUGUAAUUCCUCUUUGCAGCUCCUUCCCUUUUCCUUUACUAUUUCCUUACAUUGAGCUGAGGUAAAAAGAUCAAUCUCAGGGAAGCACAAUUCAGUGUCAGCAGGAUUCGACUGAGAGAGCGAACCAUUUGGGUUCAUAUACAAACCAAAUCGGAAAGAAAUAGAUGCACGUGUGAAUCUCUGAUGGUGAACAUUGAUAUGCACUUGUGAAUCUGUGGGAGUCUGGGGGUAGUCACACACCUGCUAACUCAACUCACUUACUCAAACUCAGAAUGUCAUAAGUAGUGAUCAAAUACUGAUUUGAUGAUAAUUAUUAGCUGAAAUCGACACAACCUAUGGCAUGCUACGAGUGCCUUGCUAACACUGCUCUUGGCCGGAAUACUCGGCUUGUUGGUGACAUUCUGUUAGAAAUAAAAUCUUUCAGGGUUUCAGGACCAUGAUUAAUUUCGACAGAUUCACGGAGUCACCUUCAAUCUCUUUUGCCCAUGCAUUGAGCAAGUACAGGAUAUAGUCGAACCGCAUGGGAUGGUUGCUCCAAUGUUCUUCAUACAGGUUGGUUAAAUCAUUGGCUUAGAAGUUGGCAAUUAACUGGAUAUGUGCUUGACCUUUGAAAAAAUGUGUUCGUGAUGCCUGAACCUUGGAAAAUUUCUUGCUUGGGCUGGUCAUUUUCAAUUUUAGAGUGCUCAAAGAACACCUGUUUGUUUCUCAGGAAAGAAGAUUUUUAAUAAUGAGCUGGCACUUGCGUUUUAACUAUCACAUCCUCAACUCGUAGUUCUGAUCCCAUCAAACAUGCAUGUAUACACAAGAAAAAUGAUACAUAGAUUUAUCAUUAUAUUGAUGUUUAUUUGUUUAUUUAUUUGUCCAA
Molecule: RNA transcript, 2565 nt
Organism: Cornus florida
Lineage: Eukaryota; Viridiplantae; Streptophyta; Magnoliopsida; Cornales; Cornaceae
Gene name: lipoamide acyltransferase component of branched-chain alpha-keto acid dehydrogenase complex, mitochondrial
Exons: 9
Source: RefSeq, a predicted model, not a curated record